GACCCGACUGCUAUUUGGGUGAGGAUAAGCCAUGCGAGUUGAAUGGGAUACCUAUAGUUCCCAUGGCAAACUGCUCAGUAACACAUGAUCAACUUACCCUAUAGAGAAAAAUAACCUCGGGAAACUGAGGAUAAUGUUUCAUAGUUGAAUUGGCUUGGAAAAGUUUUUCGACGAAAGGGGUAAAAAAAAUGGUUUUUAUCUGCUAUAGGAUAGGAUCGUGUUCGAUUAUGGUUGUUGGUGAGAUAAUGGCUCACCAAGCCGAUAAUCGAUAGGGGCCGUGAGAGCGGGAGCCCCGAGAUGGGUACUGAGACAACGACCAGGCCUUACGAGGCGCAGCAGGCGCGGAACCUCCGCAAUACACGAAAGUGUGACGGGGUUACCCAAAGUGUUCAAUAGAACUGUGGUAGGUGAGUAAUGUUCCCUACUAGAAAGGAGAGGGCAAGGCUGGUGCCAGCCGCCGCGGUAAAACCAGCUCUUCAAGUGGUCGGGAUAUUAUUGGGCUUAAGUGUCCGUAGCCGGUUUAGUUAGUUCCUGGUAAAAUCGGGUAGCUUAACUAUCUGCAUGCUAGGAAUACUGCUAUACUAGAGGGCGGGAGAGGUCUGAGGUACUACAGGGGUAGGGGUGAAAUCUUAUAAUCCUUGUAGGACCACCAGUGGCGAAGGCGUCAGACUGGAACGCGCCUGACGGUGAGGGACGAAAGCCAGGGGAGCGAACCGGAUUAGAUACCCGGGUAGUCCUGGCCGUAAACGAUGCAUACUAGGUGAUGGUACGGCCAUGAGCCGUAUCAGUGCCGUAGGGAAACCGUUAAGUGUGCCGCCUGGGAAGUACGGUCGCAAGGCUAAAACUUAAAGGAAUUGGCGGGGGAGCACCACAAGGGGUGAAGCCUGCGGUUCAAUUGGACUCAACGCCGGGAAACUUACCAGGGGAGACAGCAGUAUGACGGUCAGGUUGACGACCUUACCCGACGAGCUGAGAGGAGGUGCAUGGCCGUCGCCAGUUCGUGCCGUGAGGUAUCCUGUUAAGUCAGGCAACGAACGAGAUCCGCACCUUUAUUUGCCAACAAGAAGUCACGACUUCGUUGGGAACACUAAAGGGACCGCCGUCGAUAAGACGGAGGAAGGAGCGGGCAAAGGCAGGUCAGUAUGCCCCGAAACCCCUGGGCUACACGCGGGCUGCAAUGGUAUGAACAAUGGGCUGUGACUCCGAAUGAGAACCAAUCCGAAUCAUAUCUCAGUUGGA
Molecule: ribosomal RNA, 1239 nt
Filed under: uncultured archaeon
Lineage: Archaea
Description: bacterial SSU rRNA
Rfam family: Archaeal small subunit ribosomal RNA
Source: RNAcentral